Molecule: ribosomal RNA, 274 nt
Filed under: uncultured bacterium
Lineage: Bacteria
Description: partial 16S ribosomal RNA
Rfam family: Bacterial small subunit ribosomal RNA
Source: RNAcentral
AUACAGAGGGUGCAAGCGUUAAUCGGAAUUACUGGGCGUAAAGCGCACGUAGGUGGUUCAUUAAGUCAGAUGAGAAAGCCCCGGGCUCAACCUGGGAACUGCAUUUGAAACUGGUGAGCUAGAGUAUGGUAGAGGUAAGUGGAAUUCCAGGUGUAGCGGUGAAAUGCGUAGAUAUCUGGAGGAACAUCAGUGGCGAAGGCGACUUACUGGACCAAUACUGACACUGAGGUGCGAAAGCGUGGGGAGCAAACAGGAUUAGAAACCCUAGUAGUCC